UGGGGAAUAUUGCACAAUGGGCGCAAGCCUGAUGCAGCCAUGCCGCGUGUGUGAAGAAGGCCUUCGGGUUGUAAAGCACUUUCAGCGGGGAGGAAGGCGAUAAGGUUAAUAACCUUGUCGAUUGACGUUACCCGCAGAAGCAGCACCGGCUAACUCCGUGCCAGCAGCCGCGGUAAUACGGAGGGUGCAAGCGUUAAUCGGAAUUACUGGGCGUAAAGCGCACGCAGGCGGUCUGUCAAGUCGGAUGUGAAAUCCCCGGGCUCAACCUGGGAACUGCAUUCGAAACUGGCAGGCUAGAGUCUUGUAGAGGGGGGUAGAAUUCCAGGUGUAGCGGUGAAAUGCGUAGAGAUCUGGAGGAAUACCGGUGGCGAAGGCGGCCCCCUGGACAAAGACUGACGCUCAGGUGCGAAAGCGUGGGGAGCAAACAGG
This 429-nucleotide ribosomal RNA is filed under the name Chloroflexota bacterium. RNAcentral's name for it is "Chloroflexi bacterium partial 16S ribosomal RNA". It matches the Rfam family "Bacterial small subunit ribosomal RNA", at positions 355 to 776 of the family's 1533-position model. The record is from RNAcentral. Lineage: Bacteria; Bacillati; Chloroflexota.